UGCAAGCCGAGCGGUAGGGUUUCUUCGGAAACCUGAGAGCGGCGCACGGGUGCGGAACACGUGUGCAACCUACCUUUAUCAGGGGGAUAGCCUUUCGAAAGGAAGAUUAAUACCCCAUAAUAUAUUAGAUGGCAUCAUUUGAUAUUGAAAACUCCGGUGGAUAGAGAUGGGCACGCGCAAGAUUAGAUAGUUGGUGAGGUAACGGCUCACCAAGUCAGUGAUCUUUAGGGGGCCUGAGAGGGUGAUCCCCCACACUGGUACUGAGACACGGACCAGACUCCUACGGGAGGCAGCAGUGAGGAAUAUUGGACAAUGGGUGAGAGCCUGAUCCAGCCAUCCCGCGUGAAGGAUGACGGCCCUAUGGGUUGUAAACUUCUUUUG
Molecule: ribosomal RNA, 381 nt
Filed under: uncultured bacterium
Lineage: Bacteria
Description: bacterial SSU rRNA
Rfam family: Bacterial small subunit ribosomal RNA
Source: RNAcentral